RNAcentral lists this ribosomal RNA (468 nucleotides) under uncultured bacterium. RNAcentral describes it as "partial 16S ribosomal RNA". It matches the Rfam family "Bacterial small subunit ribosomal RNA", at positions 28 to 507 of the family's 1533-position model. The record is from RNAcentral.
GACGAACGCUGGCGGCGUGCUUAACACAUGCAAGUCGAACGGAAAGGCCCUGCUUUUGUGGGGUGCUCGAGUGGCGAACGGGUGAGUAACACGUGAGUAACCUGCCCUUGACUUUGGGAUAACUUCAGGAAACUGGGGCUAAUACCGGAUAGGAGCUCCUGCUGCAUGGUGGGGGUUGGAAAGUUUCGGCGGUUGGGGAUGGACUCGCGGCUUAUCAGCUUGUUGGUGGGGUAGUGGCUUACCAAGGCUUUGACGGGUAGCCGGCCUGAGAGGGUGACCGGCCACAUUGCGACUGAGAUACGGCCCAGACUCCUACGGGGGGCAGCAGUGGGAAAUAUUGCACAAUGGGCGGAAGCCUGAUGCAGCAACGCCGCGUGCGGGAUGACGGCCUUCGGGUUGUAACCCGCUUUCGCCUGUGACGAAGCGUGAGUGCCGGUCAUGGGUAAAGAAGCACCGGCUAACUACGUG